This 241-nucleotide long non-coding RNA is filed under the name Gallus gallus (chicken). RNAcentral describes it as "long non-coding RNA NONGGAT011799". The record is from RNAcentral. Lineage: Eukaryota; Metazoa; Chordata; Aves; Galliformes; Phasianidae.
AAGCGAUCAGGCGGCCGCAGCGAAGAGAGGCAGCCGACUGCGCUGCGCGGCGGAUAUACGCUCUACCCCGUCCCGCCCAGACUCAACGAACACUGCCAAGCUUCUGCCCCUCGUUCUCCCCGGGACGACUUCUUCCGUGCGCCGAUGACAGCUGCGCGCUGCGCAUGCGCGCAGCCCUCGCACGCCCGAGACAUUCCCACCGCUGCCAGACUUCUUUGUUGACUGACCUAGCACAUUAACC